UACGUAGGGGGCAAGCGUUGUCCGGAAUCAUUGGGCGUAAAGAGCGUGUAGGCGGCUUGGUAAGUCCGCUGUGAAAGCCCAGGGCUCAACCCUGGAAUGCCGGUGGAAACUGUCAAGCUUGAGUCCGGAAGAGGCGAGUGGAAUUCCUGGUGUAGCGGUGAAAUGCGCAGAUAUCAGGAGGAACACCGGUGGCGAAGGCGGGUCUCUGGGCCGAUACUGACGCUGAGGAGCGAAAGCGUGGGGAGCGAACAGG
This 253-nucleotide ribosomal RNA is filed under the name uncultured bacterium. Its description in RNAcentral is "partial 16S ribosomal RNA". It matches the Rfam family "Bacterial small subunit ribosomal RNA", at positions 524 to 776 of the family's 1533-position model. The record is from RNAcentral.